Molecule: ribosomal RNA, 475 nt
Filed under: uncultured organism
Description: partial 16S ribosomal RNA
Rfam family: Bacterial small subunit ribosomal RNA
Source: RNAcentral
UACACUCCUACGGGAGGCAGCAGUGGGGAAUUUUGGACAAUGGGCGAAAGCCUGAUCCAGCAAUGCCGCGUGAGUGAAGAAGGCCUUCGGGUUGUAAAGCUCUUUUGUCAGGGAAGAAACGGUGAAAGCUAAUAUCUUUUGCUAAUGACGGUACCUGAAGAAUAAGCACCGGCUAACUACGUGCCAGCAGCCGCGGUAAUACGUAGGGUGCAAGCGUUAAUCGGAAUUACUGGGCGUAAAGCGUGCGCAGGCGGUUUUGUAAGUCUGAUGUGAAAUCCCCGGGCUCAACCUGGGAAUUGCAUUGGAGACUGCAAGGCUAGAAUCUGGCAGAGGGGGGUAGAAUUCCACGUGUAGCAGUGAAAUGCGUAGAUAUGUGGAGGAACACCGAUGGCGAAGGCAGCCCCCUGGGUCAAGAUUGACGCUCAUGCACGAAAGCGUGGGGAGCAAACAGGAUUAGAUACCCGUGUAGUCCCAU